RNAcentral lists this ribosomal RNA (913 nucleotides) under uncultured Bacteroidota bacterium. RNAcentral describes it as "bacterial SSU rRNA". It matches the Rfam family "Bacterial small subunit ribosomal RNA", at positions 8 to 918 of the family's 1533-position model. The record is from RNAcentral. Lineage: Bacteria; Pseudomonadati; Bacteroidota.
AGAGUUUGAUUAUGGCUCAGGAUGAACGCUAGCGGCAGGCUUAACACAUGCAAGUCGAGGGGCAGCACGGGUAGCAAUACCUGGUGGCGACCGGCGCAAGGGUGCGUAACGCGUGAGCAACAUGCCCUAUACAGGGGGAUAAACCAGGGAAACUUGGACUAAUACCCCAUAGCAUUUAUUUAUGGCAUCAUGAAUAAAUUAAAGCUUCGGUGGUAUAGGAUUGGCUCGCGUGACAUUAGCUAGAUGGUGAGGUAACGGCUCACCAUGGCGAUGAUGUCUAGGGGUUCUGAGAGGAAGGCCCCCCACACUGGGACUGAGACACGGCCCAGACUCCUACGGGAGGCAGCAGUGAGGAAUAUUGGACAAUGGAUGGAAAUCUGAUCCAGCCAUGCCGCGUGCAGGAAGACGGCCCUAUGGGUUGUAAACUGCUUUUAUACGGGAGCAAUAAGGUCUACGUGUAGACUGAUGAGAGUACCGUAUGAAUAAGCAUCGGCUAACUCCGUGCCAGCAGCCGCGGUAAUACGGAGGAUGCGAGCGUUAUCCGGAUUUAUUGGGUUUAAAGGGUGCGUAGGCGGCCUUGUAAGUCAGCGGUGAAAUUUUGCAGCUUAACUGUAAAAGUGCCGUUGAUACUGUGAGGCUAGGAUUUGGUUGCUGUGGGUGGAAUGUGUGGUGUAGCGGUGAAAUGCUUAGAGAUCACACAGAAUAUCGAUUGCGAAGGCAGCUCACAAAGCCAAGAUUGACGCUGAGGCACGAAAGUGUGGGGAUCAAACAGGAUUAGAUACCCUGGUAGUUCACACUGUAAACGAUGAUAACUCGCUGUCGGCGAUAUACAGUCGGUGGCCAAGCGAAAGCGAUAAGUUAUCCAACUUGGGAGUACGACCGCAAGGUUGAAACUCAAAUGAAUUUGACGGGG